Small nuclear RNA from Oryctolagus cuniculus (rabbit), 115 nucleotides. Its record names the gene U2. It matches the Rfam family "U2 spliceosomal RNA". From Rfam's summary of the family: U2 is a small nuclear RNA (snRNA) component of the spliceosome (involved in pre-mRNA splicing). Complementary binding between U2 snRNA (in an area lying towards the 5' end but 3' to hairpin I) and the branchpoint sequence (BPS) of the intron results the bulging out of an unpaired adenosine, on the BPS, which initiates a nucleophilic attack at the intronic 5' splice site, thus starting the first of two transesterification reactions that mediate splicing. The record is from Ensembl. Lineage: Eukaryota; Metazoa; Chordata; Mammalia; Lagomorpha; Leporidae.
ACUGCUUCUCAGCCUUUUGGCUAAGAUCAAGUGUAGUAUCUGAGGUAUUCAUAUAGUCUUCCAUAAUGGCUGUACUAGUUUACAUUCUCACCAACAGUAUAUUAGGGUACCCUUU